GGACUACUGGGGUAUCUAAUCCCGUUCGCUCCCCUGGCUUUCGCGCCUCAGCGUCAGAUGAGAUCCAGCGUGUCGCUUUCGCCACCGGAGUUCCUUCCGAUAUCAACGCAUUUCACCGCUCCACCGGAAGUUCCACACGCCCCUACCUCCCUCCAGACGGCCAGUAUCGAAGGCUAUUUUCCGGUUGAGCCGAAAGAUUUCACCCCCGACUUGGUCGUCCGCCUACGCGCCCUUUAAGCCCAGUGAUUCCGAACAACGUUCGCACGGUUCGUCUUACCGCGGCUGCUGGCAC
This 292-nucleotide ribosomal RNA is filed under the name uncultured bacterium. Its description in RNAcentral is "partial 16S ribosomal RNA". RNAcentral also lists the same sequence under 2 other names. The record is from RNAcentral.